AUAACUUCAGUCCAUAACAGUUUGGCAUAUCCACUAAAAUUUCUCAACAUCUAAUAAUUCAACAUAACAGCUAAUUGACUUCUACUUUCGAACUCAUCUAACACCCUAACAGUUAAACUCCACUUCAAACUAACUUCAGCCAAACCAUCUAACUUCCUCUAAAUUGUAAAAACAGUUGAAUUAGCUACACUCACUGCUACAGUUCCUAAAAAGUUCACUUCUAAUAGUUGUUAAACAAAGUUAG
Molecule: long non-coding RNA, 244 nt
Filed under: Lathyrus oleraceus (garden pea)
Lineage: Eukaryota; Viridiplantae; Streptophyta; Magnoliopsida; Fabales; Fabaceae
Description: Pisum sativum (pea) long non-coding RNA (PSAT_LNC028595)
Source: RNAcentral